This 439-nucleotide ribosomal RNA is filed under the name uncultured bacterium. RNAcentral describes it as "partial 16S ribosomal RNA". It matches the Rfam family "Bacterial small subunit ribosomal RNA", at positions 339 to 795 of the family's 1533-position model. The record is from RNAcentral.
CUACGGGUUGCAGCAGUCAGGAAUAUUGCACAAUGGGGGGAACCCUGAUGCAGCAACGCCGCGUGGAGGAUGACGCAUUUCGGUGUGUAAACUCCUUUUAUAUGUCAAGAAAAUGACGGUAGCAUAUGAAUAAGCACCGGCUAACUCCGUGCCAGCAGCCGCGGUAAUACGGAGGGUGCAAGCGUUACUCGGAAUCACUGGGCGUAAAGGACGCGUAGGCGGGUCGGAAAGUCAGGUGUGAAAUCCUACAGCUUAACUGUAGAACUGCACUUGAAACUUCUAAUCUAGAGUAUGGGAGGGGGAGAUGGAAUUAGUGGUGUAGGGGUAAAAUCCGUAGAUAUCACUAGGAAUACCUAAAGCGAAGGCGAUCUCCUGGAACAUUACUGACGCUAAGGCGUGAAAGCGUGGGGAGCAAACAGGAUUAGAUACCCUCGUAGUC